UNACGGCGUAAAGAGUGGUUAGGCAAAGAUAAAUACUAAAGCCGAAUGUUUUCAAAGCUGUUAUACGCCCACAAAACCGAGAAGCCCAACCACGAAAGUGCUUUACUAAGCCCUGAACCCACGAGAGCUAGGAAACAAACUGGGAUUAGAGACCCCACUAUGCCUAGCCGUAAACAUUGAUAGAUUAAUACACCCCCUAUCCGCCCGGGAACUACGAGCACCAGCUUGAAACCCAAAGGACUUGGCGGUGCUUUAGAUCCUACUAGAGGAGCCUGUUCUAUAACCGAUAACCCCCGUUCAACCUCACCUUUCCUUGUUUCCCCCCGCUAUAUACCGCCGUCGUCAGCCCACCCUAUGAAGGUCUAAAAGUAGGCUAAUUGGCAC
RNAcentral lists this ribosomal RNA (384 nucleotides) under Parachaenichthys charcoti. Its description in RNAcentral is "partial 12S ribosomal RNA". It matches the Rfam family "Bacterial small subunit ribosomal RNA", at positions 547 to 1099 of the family's 1533-position model. Lineage: Eukaryota; Metazoa; Chordata; Actinopteri; Perciformes; Bathydraconidae. The record is from RNAcentral.